CAGUCGCCACGGUAAUACGGAGGGUGCAAGCGUUAAUCGGAAUUACUGGGCGUAAAGCGCACGCAGGCGGUCUGACAAGUCAGAUGUGAAAUCCCCGGGCUUAACCUGGGAACUGCAUUUGAAACUGUCAGGCUGGAGUCUUGUAGAGGGGGGUGGAAUUCCAGGUGUAGCGGUGAAAUGCGUAGAGAUCUGGAGGAAUACCGGUGGCGAAGGCGGCCCCCUGGACAAAGACUGACGCUCAGGUGCGAAAGCGUGGGGAGCAAACAGGAUUAGAUACCCCUGUAGUCUGUCUCUUAUACAC
This 301-nucleotide ribosomal RNA is filed under the name uncultured bacterium. RNAcentral describes it as "partial 16S ribosomal RNA". It matches the Rfam family "Bacterial small subunit ribosomal RNA", at positions 509 to 809 of the family's 1533-position model. The record is from RNAcentral.